Molecule: ribosomal RNA, 397 nt
Filed under: uncultured bacterium
Lineage: Bacteria
Description: bacterial SSU rRNA
Rfam family: Bacterial small subunit ribosomal RNA
Source: RNAcentral
AUUGAACGCUGGCGGCAUGCUUUACACAUGCAAGUCGAACGGUAACAGGGAGCUUGCUCCGCUGACGAGUGGCGAACGGGUGAGUAAUGCAUCGGAACGUACCCAGUCGUGGGGGAUAACGUAGCGAAAGUUACGCUAAUACCGCAUACGUCCUGAGGGAGAAAGCGGGGGACCGUAAGGCCUCGCGCGAUUGGAGCGGCCGAUGUCGGAUUAGCUAGUUGGUGGGGUAAAGGCCUACCAAGGCGACGAUCCGUAGCGGGUCUGAGAGGAUGAUCCGCCACACUGGGACUGAGACACGGCCCAGACUCCUACGGGAGGCAGCAGUGGGGAAUUUUGGACAAUGGGGGCAACCCUGAUCCAGCCAUGCCGCGCGAGUGAAGAAGGCCUCGGUUGUAAG